AGUAAUUAAUUUGGGCUACCGAAGACAGUAGGGACUAUUAAGUUUAAUCAUCCUACAGAGGAGCAUAAGAUAUGAGUUUAUCAGUCUUUCUGUCUUUGGAUGGAAAGACUUUUUUAGUGUAGCC
Molecule: regulatory RNA element, 124 nt
Organism: Finegoldia magna ATCC 29328
Lineage: Bacteria; Bacillati; Bacillota; Tissierellia; Tissierellales; Peptoniphilaceae
Rfam family: Ribosomal protein L10 leader
About the family: This family is a putative r-protein leader autoregulatory structure found in B. subtilis and other low-GC Gram-positive bacteria. It is located in the 5' untranslated regions of mRNAs encoding ribosomal proteins L10 and L12 (rplJ-rplL).
Source: Rfam